CCUACGGGUGGCAGCAGUAGGGAAUCUUCCACAAUGGGCGAUAGCCUGAUGGAGCAACGCCGCGUGGGUGAAGAAGGUCCUCGGAUCGUAAAACCCUGUUGUUAGAGAAGUAAGUGCGUGAGAGUAACUGUUUACGUUUCGACGGUAUGUAACCAGAUAGCCACGGUUAACUACGUGCCAGCAGCUGCGGUAAUACGUAGGUGGCAAGCGUUAUCCGGAUUUAUUGGGCGUAAAGGGAACGCAGGCGGUCUUUUAAGUCUGAUGUGAAAGCUUUCGGCUUAACCGGAGUAGUGCAUUGGAAACUGGGAGCCUUGAGUACAGAAGAGGUGGGUGGAACUCGAGGUGUAGCGGUGAAAUGCGUAGAUAUCUGGAAGAACUCCGAUGGCGAAGGCAGCUCUCUGGUCUGUAACUGACGCUGAGGUUCGAAAGCGUGGGUAGCAAACAGGAUUAGAUACCCUUGUAGUC
Molecule: ribosomal RNA, 465 nt
Filed under: uncultured bacterium
Lineage: Bacteria
Description: partial 16S ribosomal RNA
Rfam family: Bacterial small subunit ribosomal RNA
Source: RNAcentral